CCUACGGGGGACAGCAGUGGGGGAUAUUGCACAAUGGGGGAAACCCUGAUGCAGCGACGCCGCGUGUAGGAAGACGGUCCUCUGGAUUGUAAACUACUGUCCCCAGGGACGAAGAUGACGGUACCUGGGGAGGAAGCUCCGGCUAACUACGUGCCAGCAGCCGCGUUACUACGUAGGGAGCGAGCGUUGUCCGGAAUUACUGGGUGAAAAGGGAGCGUAGGCGGGGAUGCAAGUUGGGUGUUAAAUCUACCGGCUCAACUGGUAGUCGCACUCAAAACUGCAGCUCUUGAGUGAAGUAGAGGCAGGCGGAAUUCCUAGUGUAGCGGUGAAAUGCGUAGAUAUUAGGAGGAACACCAGUGGCGAAGGCGGCCUGCUGGGCUUUUACUGACGCUGAGGCUCGAAAGUGUGGGGAGCAAACAGGAUUAGAUACCCGGGUAGUC
This 440-nucleotide ribosomal RNA is filed under the name uncultured bacterium. RNAcentral describes it as "partial 16S ribosomal RNA". It matches the Rfam family "Bacterial small subunit ribosomal RNA", at positions 338 to 795 of the family's 1533-position model. The record is from RNAcentral.